GGGGAAAAAAAAGCAGCUUCAGGCUCAAAACUUGUCUGACUUGUUCAAGUGUUAUAGAAAAACACAAGCUUCAUGGUCAUUUCUUAUUCAACUGCUUAGAUACGUAAAUAAUUUACUACAGUGACUUUCCUUUGGUGAAACAUGGCUUCAUCACAACCAAUGAACCACCAAAUGAACUGUUCUACAUAUGAUGAAACAGUAGCAACACGUUCCUGUGUCAGGAUAACAUUCAAACUUAGCUGAGCCUCUCAAUACCUCUGAUUCCUUGGACCUCUCAACCUCUUUGCUGCUAUUUAUUUGUAAAAUGAGACUUACGUUAAAAAUGAUUAUUAUCUAAAAAUACCUCAAAUAUUAUCUAAAAAUACCUGGUC
Molecule: long non-coding RNA, 371 nt
Filed under: Bos taurus (domestic cattle)
Lineage: Eukaryota; Metazoa; Chordata; Mammalia; Artiodactyla; Bovidae
Description: long non-coding RNA NONBTAT006909
Source: RNAcentral